AACCCUUGUGUGAGUGCCUUUGCCUAAUUUGUAACAAAGCCUUACAGACAGUGCAAACAGGAAAUCCUCUUUUGCAACCCAGAACUCCUUGUUGAGUAUGAGUUUUUGAUACAUGGAAGAAGGAAUAUG
Small nucleolar RNA from Dipodomys ordii (Ord's kangaroo rat), 129 nucleotides. The record is from Ensembl. Lineage: Eukaryota; Metazoa; Chordata; Mammalia; Rodentia; Heteromyidae.